AGUGGCCACCAUCUAGACUCCAGUUCUCUUACCCCGUGUUCCAGAACCCAAACAUCCUACCCUGUGUUCCAGAACCCAAACAUUCCAUGUCUCCACAAAUAGCACAAUGUGUUACCUGAGUAGAAGUGCAGCCCAAAGCUCAGCAUCUGCCUGUGGGAGCUGGCAAAACCAAAAUACCAGAACUCCAGCACAAGCAGAGUCCUCUCACCUCUGAGAAGCCUCCUGGCUACCAGUCUUUCACACCCCAUCCCUUCAUCUCUUCAUACCAAAGGAACAGCCAAGAGAAAAAAAGACAACCGCUAUGAGAAAACCAUGCUAGAGCCAAAGACCUAAAGUCACUGGCCCACCCUGGACAAGGGCUCUUGGCCAGAGAAGCCUGGCUGAACCA
RNAcentral lists this long non-coding RNA (388 nucleotides) under Homo sapiens (human). RNAcentral's name for it is "HSALNT0232715". The record is from RNAcentral. Lineage: Eukaryota; Metazoa; Chordata; Mammalia; Primates; Hominidae.